ACAGCAGAGGCAUCUCCGCUUCCUGUUUCCGCCAUUUCAAGGGAUGGCGCUCCCAUCUCUUUAAGCUGCCGCUCUUCCAACUUGGCAGGGCUGAUUAGGAAGACCCAGUUCCUGACCACCGAUGCUUUGCUACGCUAGGCUGGAAAAUGCCUCCCUCUGCCCUUGAGAAGGGGGUCUGAAUGUUUUGCGGGACUGACACCGCAGCAACAUGCCGGUGUGUUUCACGCUGCUGCCUCCUGUUUCCCUUGAAGCUUUCACCAGACCCUGGAUUUCUUUUUCACUUCCUGUUCUGAGCCAUCGCCGGGCACUCAUUACCCACCAGCUGUGUCCCAGCUGCCGCAUUCUACACUAGAGGUGGCGCCCUGCACCCGGCGGAAAUGAAGAGAAUCAGACUACCCACCUUGGAUUCUGAUAUGAAAGAUUUAGGAUAAAAGAGCUACUCCAUCAGCCUGGAAAGAUGACUCACUGGCAAACUCUUAGAUAAAGCUAAACUUCACACCAAACUGCAAGAGAGUCUAAGAAUGAAGAGAAAACUGCUUUGGCAAGCAACUACCUAGUCUCUGACACAGUCCACCUUUUUGGUCAGCCAAUAUCCAGCUCCGCCUUGUCUUCUUACACAAAGCCCAGGCAAAGCCCAGGAUUGCUAACUGUUGUACAAACCUGUUGGUCAGGCCUAGAUGGAAGCUUUCAACCCCAUUUCAAGUCAGCUGGCUUAUCCAACCCUGAAAGGUCUGUGAUCUCUCAGUUCUUUUUAUAAACAGGCCUCUGCUUGCAAAUGGCCAAUUCUUGCCUGAGCUCAUCUCUUUCUUGUAAUACUUUAUGAAAGGCAGCCAGUAGUAACUAAUGCAUAAAUUUUUCCAACCAACUGGCCCAAAGGUCAGUAGACCUUUUUACCAAAUGUUUCGCAAUGUAUAGCAUGAAUCUCCAUCUUUCUCCUCUCUGUUAUCAGGUUCCUCAGUGCCCAACCAUUAUGUCAAUGCCUUUUACCUUAAUUUUUUUCUUAUGGCAACAUUUUCUUCUGGAAUUAUUUCUGUACUGUAGCAAAUGCCCUAAACUGUGUAAAACAGUUUGAAGACACUAUUUUUUUUUCUAUUUUUAUCAUUUGUUCCUCGGUCUACUCAAUACGCUCCCUGCUUAAAACUCCCCUAGUGAUUUUCUGUUGGGUUUAAAAUAGAGUCUAAACUCUUUACCAUGGAUUACAAGCUUCUCUGUUAACUGGUUGUAACCUGCAUUUCCAGCCUCCUUUGGCGCCACUCUUGUCCCACCAACUAUAUCACAUUUCCUUUGGAACAUUUUCUGCUUCUUGAACUUGCCCAGGUCCUUGCUGUUAGCUGGUCCCUUUGCCUAUGAUGAUCUUCCUUCUUAGCAUCACUUGAACUGCAAAAAAUAAAAAAUGAAACAAAAAACAAACUCCUGUGUGUU
This 1422-nucleotide long non-coding RNA is filed under the name Homo sapiens (human). Its description in RNAcentral is "long intergenic non-protein coding RNA 1579". Lineage: Eukaryota; Metazoa; Chordata; Mammalia; Primates; Hominidae. The record is from RNAcentral.